Molecule: ribosomal RNA, 265 nt
Filed under: uncultured prokaryote
Description: partial 16S ribosomal RNA
Rfam family: Bacterial small subunit ribosomal RNA
Source: RNAcentral
UACGUAGGUGGCAAGUGUUGUCCGGAUUUACUGGGUGUAAAGGGAGCGCAGACGGAACUGCAAGUCUGAUGUGAAAGCCCGGGGCUCAACCGCGGGACUGCAUUGGAAACUGUAGAUCUGGAGUGCCGGAGGGGCAAGCGGAAUUCCUGGUGUAGCGGUGAAAUGCGUAGAUAUCAGGAGGAACACCGGCGGCGAAGGCGGCUUGCUGGACGGCAACUGACGUUGAGGCUCGAAAGCGUGGGGAGCAAACAGGAUUAGAUACCCU